CCGAAUGGGGAAACCCAACUGCAUAAGCAGUUACUGUUAACUGAAUACAUAGGUUAACAGAGCAAACCGGGGGAACUGAAACAUCUAAGUACCCCGAGGAGAAGAAAUCAACCGAGAUUCCGGUAGUAGCGGCGAGCGAACCUGGAUUAGCCCUUAAGCACUCGGUGAAGUAGGUGAACAAGCUGGAAAGCUUGGCGAUACAGGGUGAUAGCCCCGUAACCGACGCUUCAUCGAGCGUGAAAUCGAGUAGGGCGGGACACGUGAUAUCCUGUCUGAAUAUGGGGGGACCAUCCUCCAAGGCUAAAUACUCCUGACUGACCGAUAGUGAACCAGUACCGUGAGGGAAAGGCGAAAAGAACCCCUGUGAGGGGAGUGAAAUAGAACCUGAAACCGUGUACGUACAAGCAGUAGGAGCACCUUCGUGGUGUGACUGCGUACCUUUUGUAUAAUGGGUCAGCGACUUAUAUUCAGUGGCAAGGUUAACCGUAUAGGGGAGCCGUAGCGAAAGCGAGUCUUAACUGGGCGCUCAGUCUCUGGAUAUAGACCCGAAACCGGGUGAUCUAGCCAUGGGCAGGUUGAAGGUUGAGUAACAUCAACUGGAGGACCGAACCGACUAAUGUUGAAAAAUUAGCGGAUGACUUGUGGCUAGGGGUGAAAGGCCAAUCAAACUCGGAGAUAGCUGGUUCUCCCCGAAAGCUAUUUAGGUAGCGCCUCGGACGAAUACUACUGGGGGUAGAGCACUGUUAAGGCUAGGGGGUCAUCCCGACUUACCAACCCUUUGCAAACUCCGAAUACCAGUAAGUACUAUCCGGGAGACACACGGCGGGUGCUAACGUCCGUCGUGGAGAGGGAAACAACCCAGACCGCCAGCUAAGGUCCCAAAGUAUUGCUAAGUGGGAAACGAUGUGGGAAGGCUCAGACAGCUAGGAUGUUGGCUUAGAAGCAGCCAUCAUUUAAAGAAAGCGUAAUAGCUCACUAGUCGAGUCGGCCUGCGCGGAAGAUGUAACGGGGCUAAGCAAUACACCGAAGCUGCGGCAAUGUCUUUUAGACAUUGGGUAGGGGAGCGUUCUGUAAGCCGUUGAAGGUGAAUCGUAAGGUUUGCUGGAGGUAUCAGAAGUGCGAAUGCUGACAUGAGUAACGACAAAGGGGGUGAAAAACCUCCUCGCCGGAAGACCAAGGGUUCCUGUCCAACGUUAAUCGGGGCAGGGUGAGUCGACCCCUAAGGUGAGGCCGAAAGGCGUAAUCGAUGGGAAACGGGUUAAUAUUCCCGUACUUCUGACUAUUGCGAUGGGGGGACGGAGAAGGCUAGGUGGGCCAGGCGACGGUUGUCCUGGUUCAAGUGCGUAGGCUUGAGAGUUAGGUAAAUCCGGCUCUCUCUAAG
RNAcentral lists this ribosomal RNA (1381 nucleotides) under Vibrio cholerae. Its description in RNAcentral is "partial 23S ribosomal RNA". It matches the Rfam family "Bacterial large subunit ribosomal RNA", at positions 114 to 1555 of the family's 2925-position model. The record is from RNAcentral. Lineage: Bacteria; Pseudomonadati; Pseudomonadota; Gammaproteobacteria; Vibrionales; Vibrionaceae.